This 555-nucleotide ribosomal RNA is filed under the name uncultured bacterium. Its description in RNAcentral is "bacterial SSU rRNA". It matches the Rfam family "Bacterial small subunit ribosomal RNA", at positions 102 to 674 of the family's 1533-position model. The record is from RNAcentral.
ACGGGUGAGUAACGCGUAGGUAAUGUGCCCUCCUGCGGGGGAUACCGUUCCGAAAGGGACGUUAAUACCGCAUAACAUACUCCAGGGGCAUCUUUGGGGUAUCAAACUUCCGGGGUAGGGGGAGCAGCCUGCGUUCUAUCAGCUUGUUGGUGAGGUAACGGCUCACCAAGGCUACGACGGAUAACUGGUCUGAGAGGAUGACCAGUCACACUGGGACUGAGACACGGCCCAGACUCCUACGGGAGGCAGCAGUGAGGAAUAUUGCGCAAUGGGCGAAAGCCUGACGCAGCGACGCCGCGUGGAGGAUGAAGGCCUUCGGGUUGUAAACUCCUGUCAGUGGGGAAGAGAACGGACGGUACCCACUGAGGAAGCUUCGGCUAACUACGUGCCAGCAGCCGCGGUAAGACGUAGGGAGCAAGCGUUGUCCGGAAUUACUGGGCGUAAAGAGCUCGUAGGCGGGAGCGUGCGUCUGAAAGGAAAUCUCAGGGCUCAACUCUGGGGCUUUUUCAGAUACGGCGCUUCUUGAGUGUAACAGAGGAAAGCAGAAUUCCCGGU